GCAGAUGAUGCAGAACAGGACUAAGAAAAUGCAGGAAACAUUUGCACGGCUAGGAAAGCUGAGAUGCUUCUUCAAAUUGCAAGGGAUAAGAAUUUUGAAGGGGCAGUUCCUUGUCCAUAAAAUUGGUUCCAGAUUUGAGAUUUUGGGAGCUCUUUCCUCAAUGAAAUCAGGAUACAUCACAUCUAAGAUGGAGAGAAGGAAAUGGAAGACCAUUCCAGUAUCCAAGAAAAUCUCAACUGGUGUCAUGAAGAGUAGGAUGUCACUGAAAUGCAUGAACAACAACAUCUUUGCCAAGAAAACUCCAAAUGGGGUCAUAAAAAAAUGAAAAAUGAUUGAAAUGACUGAACAACCCAAGACAUGCGAAUGGUCAUCUUUAUGCUUAUUUCACAUCAUUAAAUUUUGCUAUUUAAUAUUUUAUUUAAUAUUAAAUAUUUAUUAAUAAUAUUAAAUAUUUGCUAGAAAAGGUUUCUAACCUAAAAACCCUUACAGAUUUUUCUUGGUUUAACCAUCUUAAUUGUCUAUUGAUAUUUUGAAAUCGAAAAGUUUAGUCAUAACUGUGUAUAAUAUUUUAUUUCUUAAUAUUCAAGUUCACCUUAGAGAAAAAACCCUUACAGAUUUUUCUUGGUUUAACCAUCUUAAUUGUCUAUUGAUAUUUUGAAAUCGAAAAGUUUAGUCAUAACUGUGUAUAAUAUUUUAUUUCUUAAUAUUCAAGUUCACCUUAGAGAAAAAACCCUUACAGAUUUUUCUUGGUUUAACCAUCUUAAUUGUCUAUUGAUAUUUUGAAACCGAAAAGUUUAGUCAUAACUGUGUAUAAUAUUUUAUUUCUUAAUAUUCAAGUUCACCAGGGGAUGUGGCAAAGUGGGGACAUUAAUUCAUUGCUGGUGGAGUUGUGAAUUGAUCCAACCAUUCUGGAGGGCAAUUUGGAACUAUGCCCAAAGGGCGAUAAAAGACUGUCUGCCCUUUGAUCCAGCCAUAGCACUGCUGGGCUUGUACCCCAAAGAGAUAAUGGACAAAAAGACUUGUACAAAAAUAUUCAUAGCUGCGCUCUUUGUGGUGGCCAAAAAUUGGAAAAUGAGGGGAUGCCCCUCAAUUGGGGAAUGGCUAAACAAAUUGUGGUAUAUGUUGGUGAUGGAAUAUUAUUGUGCUAAAAGGAAUAAUAAAGUGGAGGAAUUCCAUGUGAACUGGAACA
Molecule: long non-coding RNA, 1189 nt
Filed under: Monodelphis domestica (gray short-tailed opossum)
Lineage: Eukaryota; Metazoa; Chordata; Mammalia; Didelphimorphia; Didelphidae
Description: lncRNA (ENSMODG00000038770.1)
Source: RNAcentral